This 384-nucleotide ribosomal RNA is filed under the name uncultured bacterium. RNAcentral describes it as "bacterial SSU rRNA". It matches the Rfam family "Bacterial small subunit ribosomal RNA", at positions 419 to 793 of the family's 1533-position model. The record is from RNAcentral.
CGGGUUGUAAAGUACUUUCAGCAGUGAGGAAGGUGGGUAUGUUAAUAGCAUAUUCAUUUGACGUUAGCUGCAGAAGAAGCACCGGCUAACUCCGUGCCAGCAGCCGCGGUAAUACGGAGGGUGCGAGCGUUAAUCGGAAUUACUGGGCGUAAAGCGCAUGCAGGUGGUUUGUUAAGUCAGAUGUGAAAGCCCCGGGGCUCAACCUCGGAAUUGCAUUUGAAACUGGCAAACUAGAGUACUGUAGAGGGGGUAGAAUUUCAGGUGUAGCGGUGAAAUGCGUAGAGAUCUGAAGGAAUACCGGUGGCGAAGGCGGCCCCCCUGGACAGAUACUGACACUCAGAUGCGAAAGCGUGGGGAGCAAACAGGAUUAGAUACCCCUGGUAG